This 406-nucleotide ribosomal RNA is filed under the name uncultured bacterium. Its description in RNAcentral is "partial 16S ribosomal RNA". It matches the Rfam family "Bacterial small subunit ribosomal RNA", at positions 30 to 526 of the family's 1533-position model. The record is from RNAcentral.
AUUGAACGCUGGCGGCAGGCCUAACACAUGCAAGUCGAACGAGUGGCGGACGGGUGAGUAAUGUCUGGGAAACUGCCUGAUGGAGGGGGAUAACUACUGGAAACGGUAGCUAAUACCGCAUACCAUCAGAUGUGCCCAGAUGGGAUUAGCUAGUUGGUGUGGUAACGGCUCACCAAGGCGACGAGCCCUAGCUGGUCUGAGAGGAUGACCAGCCACUAGGGAACGGAGACAGGUUCCAGACUCCUACGGGAGACAGCAGUGGGGAAUAUUGCACAAUGGGCGCAAGCUGGAUGCAGCCAUGCGGCGUGUAUGAAGAAGGCCUUCGGGUUGUAAAGUACGUUCAGCGGGGAGGCGUUACCCGCAGAAGAAGCACCGGCUAACUCCGUGCCAGCAGCCGCGGUAAUAC